ACGAACAGUUGGAAACGACUGCUAAUACCGCAUACGAUCCAACCUCGGCAUCGAGGAUGGAUGAAAGGUGGCCUCUAUUUAUAAGCUAUCACUGAAGGAGGGGAUUGCGUCUGAUUAGCUAGUUGGAGGGGUAACGGCCCACCAAGGCAAUGAUCAGUAGCCGGUCUGAGAGGAUGAACGGCCACAUUGGGACUGAGACACGGCCCAGACUCCUACGGGAGGCAGCAUG
Molecule: ribosomal RNA, 229 nt
Filed under: uncultured bacterium
Lineage: Bacteria
Description: partial 16S ribosomal RNA
Rfam family: Bacterial small subunit ribosomal RNA
Source: RNAcentral